RNAcentral lists this small nuclear RNA (100 nucleotides) under Amborella trichopoda. The record is from RNAcentral. Lineage: Eukaryota; Viridiplantae; Streptophyta; Magnoliopsida; Amborellales; Amborellaceae.
GUAAUCUAUUAUAAGACAUUCAAUAAAACUGGAAUGAUAAAGAGUAGAUCAGCCCUUGCAGAAGUAUGACACGCCCUACUAAUAGCAGUAGCAGUAAAUU